RNAcentral lists this microRNA precursor (103 nucleotides) under Marmota monax (woodchuck). Lineage: Eukaryota; Metazoa; Chordata; Mammalia; Rodentia; Sciuridae. The record is from RNAcentral.
AGUGGAAUAGCUGGGUCAAAUGGUGGUUCCAUUCCCAGUUUUCUGAGGAAUUCCCACACUGCUUUCUAGAAUGGUUGCACCAAUUUGCAGUCUCACCAGCAAU